Molecule: ribosomal RNA, 496 nt
Filed under: uncultured bacterium
Lineage: Bacteria
Description: partial 16S ribosomal RNA
Rfam family: Bacterial small subunit ribosomal RNA
Source: RNAcentral
AUGCACGCUGGCGGCGUGCCUAAUACAUGCCAGUCGAGCGCACAGACGAGGAGCUUGCUCCUCUGACGUUAGCGGCGGACGGGUGAGUAACACGUGGAUAACCUACCUAUAAGACUGGGAUAACUUCGGGAAACCGGAGCUAAUACCGGAUAAUAUAUUGAACCGCAUGGUUCAAUAGUGAAAGACGGUUUUGCUGUCACUUAUAGAUGGAUCCGCGCCGCAUUAGCUAGUUGGUAAGGUAACGGCUUACCAAGGCAACGAUGCGUAGCCGACCUGAGAGGGUGAUCGGCCACACUGGAACUGAGACACGGUCCAGACUCCUACGGGAGGCAGCAGUAGGGAAUCUUCCGCAAUGGGCGAAAGCCUGACGGAGCAACGCCGCGUGAGUGAUGAAGGUCUUCGGAUCGUAAAACUCUGUUAUUAGGGAAGAACAAAUGUGUAAGUAACUAUGCACGUCUUGACGGUACCUAAUCAGAAAGCCACGGCUAACUACGUG